RNAcentral lists this unclassified non-coding RNA (340 nucleotides) under soil metagenome. RNAcentral describes it as "partial contains 5.8S ribosomal RNA, internal transcribed spacer 2, and large subunit ribosomal RNA". The stretch from base 1 to 120 matches the Rfam family "5.8S ribosomal RNA", at positions 35 to 154 of the family's 154-position model. The record is from RNAcentral.
GAUGAAGAACGUAGCGAAAUGCGAUAAGUAGUGUGAAUUGCAGAAUUCAGUGAAUCAUCGAAUCUUUGAACGCACAUUGCGCCCUUUGGUAUUCCAAAGGGCAUGCCUGUUCGAGCGUCAUUUGUACCCUCAAGCUUUGCUUGGUGUUGGGCGUCUUGUCUCUAGCUUUGCUGGAGACUCGCCUUAAAGUAAUUGGCAGCCGGCCUACUGGUUUCGGAGCGCAGCACAAGUCGCACUCUCUAUCAGCAAAGGUCUAGCAUCCAUUAAGCCUUUUUUUCAACUUUUGACCUCGGAUCAGGUAGGGAUACCCGCUGAACUUAAGCAUAUCAAUAAGCGAGGA